CACACGACUCUCGGCAACGGAUAUCUCGGCUCUCGCAUCGAUGAAGAACGUAGCGAAAUGCGAUACCUGGUGUGAAUUGCAGAAUCCCGCGAACCAUCGAGUCUUUGAACGCAAGUUGCGCCCGUGGCCACUCGGCCGAGGGCACGCCUGCCUGGGCGUCACGC
RNAcentral lists this ribosomal RNA (164 nucleotides) under Pseudoroegneria strigosa subsp. aegilopoides. RNAcentral's name for it is "5.8S ribosomal RNA". It matches the Rfam family "5.8S ribosomal RNA". Rfam says of the family: 5.8S ribosomal RNA (5.8S rRNA) is a component of the large subunit of the eukaryotic ribosome. It is transcribed by RNA polymerase I as part of the 45S precursor that also contains 18S and 28S rRNA. Lineage: Eukaryota; Viridiplantae; Streptophyta; Magnoliopsida; Poales; Poaceae. The record is from RNAcentral.